UAGGGAAAGUUUUUCGGUGUAGGAUGAGACUAUAUAGUAUCAGCUAGUUGGUAAGGUAAUGGCUUACCAAGGCUAUGACGCUUAACUGGUCUGAGAGGAUGAUCAGUCACACUGGAACUGAGACACGGUCCAGACUCCUACGGGAGGCAGCAGUAGGGAAUAUUGCGCAAUGGGGGAAACCCUGACGCAGCAACGCCGCGUGGAGGAUGACACUUUUCGGAGCGUAAACUCCUUUUCUUAGGGAAGAAUUCUGACGGUACCUAAGGAAUAAGCACCGGCUAACUCCGUGCCAGCAGCCGCGGUAAUACGGAGGGUGCAAGCGUUACUCGGAAUCACUGGGCGUAAAGGGCGCGUAGGCGGAUUAUCAAGUCUCUUGUGAAAUCUAAUGGCUUAACCAUUAAACUGCUUGGGAAACUGAUAGUCUAGAGUGAGGGAGAGGCAGAUGGAAUUGGUGGUGUAGGGGUAAAAUCCGUAGAUAUCACCAAGAAUACCCAUUGCGAAGGCGAUCUGCUGGAACUCAACUGACGCUAAGGCGCGAAAGCGUGGGGAGCAAACAGGAUUAGAUACCCUGGUAGUCCACGCCCUAAACGAUGUACACUAGUUGUUGGGGUGCUAGUCAUCUCAGUAAUGCAGCUAACGCAUUAAGUGUACCGCCUGGGGAGUACGGUCGCAAGAUUAAAACUCAAAGGAAUAGACGGGGACCCGCACAAGCGGUGGAGCAUGUGGUUUAAUUCGAAGAUACGCGAAGAACCUUACCUGGGCUUGAUAUCCUAAGAACCUUUUAGAGAUAAGAGGGUGCUAGCUUGCUAGAACUUAGAGACAGGUGCUGCACGGCUGUCGUCAGCUCGUGUCGUGAGAUGUUGGGUUAAGUCCCGCAACGAGCGCAACCCACGUAUUUAGUUGCUAACGGUUCGGCCGAGCACUCUAAAUAGACUGCCUUCGUAAGGAGGAGGAAGGUGUGGACGACGUCAAGUCAUCAUGGCCCUUAUGCCCAGGGCGACACACGUGCUACAAUGGCAUAUACAAUGAGACGCAAUACCGCGAGGUGGAGCAAAUCUAUAAAAUAUGUCCCAGUUCGGAUUGUUCUCUGCAACUCGAGAGCAUGAAGCCGGAAUCGCUAGUAAUCGUAGAUCAGCCAUGCUACGGUGAAUACGUUCCCGGGUCUUGUACUCACCGCCCGUCACACCAUGGGAGUUGAUUUCACUCGAAGCCGGAAUACUAAACUAGUUACCGUCCACAGUGGAAUCAGCGACUGGGGUGAAGUCGUAACAAGGUAACCGUAGGAGAACCUGCGGUUGGA
This 1300-nucleotide ribosomal RNA is filed under the name Campylobacter coli. RNAcentral describes it as "bacterial SSU rRNA". It matches the Rfam family "Bacterial small subunit ribosomal RNA", at positions 202 to 1522 of the family's 1533-position model. The record is from RNAcentral. Lineage: Bacteria; Pseudomonadati; Campylobacterota; Epsilonproteobacteria; Campylobacterales; Campylobacteraceae.